Molecule: ribosomal RNA, 253 nt
Filed under: uncultured bacterium
Lineage: Bacteria
Description: partial 16S ribosomal RNA
Rfam family: Bacterial small subunit ribosomal RNA
Source: RNAcentral
GACGAACCGUGCGAACGUUGUUCGGAAUCACUGGGCUUAAAGGGCGCGUAGGCGGGCUCGCCAGUCAGGGGUGAAAGCCCACGGCUCAACCGUGGAAGUGCCUUUGAUACUGCGAGUCUCGAGCGAGGUAGGGGCGUGCGGAACUUCCGGUGGAGCGGUGAAAUGCGUAGAUAUCGGAAGGAACACCGGUGGCGAAAGCGGCGCGCUGGACCUCUUCUGACGCUGAGGCGCGAAAGCCAGGGGAGCAAACGGG